Molecule: long non-coding RNA, 1103 nt
Filed under: Olea europaea subsp. europaea
Lineage: Eukaryota; Viridiplantae; Streptophyta; Magnoliopsida; Lamiales; Oleaceae
Source: RNAcentral
GUCUCGCCUCGUAAUCAGACCGAGAUGGACGAUUUCCACAAAAUUUAUGAGAUAUUUUGAUCACGAUAAUAAUAAUAAUACUCAGGUAGCAACUAUCCAGUAAAGGGGAAUUUUCAGUCCCUCUCGUUCACUGGACAGUAGACAUGCUCUCGACAAAAGAGUACUUACGAAAUUGCCAGAACUUUGAAAAAUAACUAAAAGAUGUGCAUCAAUAUUAAAGCCAUUCCAAUUGUGUCGCAUAAUGUUCAUAUUAUUGUCGAAUACGAGUUUUGUUUAGAAAAGCUAUGUUGCAACUUAUCCGGAUUUGUUCUAAACUAAAGUCAUUAUUGGGGUGUUGUUGUACAAAAAUUGGUACAUAGGACCAAGUAUUUUUAUUUUAAAAUGAUAUAAAAAAUAUGUGUAGAAAUUAUACUUUUGAUCAGUGAAUUAAAAAUGAAAUGGAGCAUACCCACGAACAGAAGGUGUGUUUAAACCCCCGAUGUUUAAACUCCAAAGGAGGCAUCCCUUACUGUAAUAAGUCAAGGAUAUACAGUACCAAACACCAACUUCAAUGAGACAGCAAUUGAGCCUCAGGUACAGAUUGGGUGUCACAAUUAUUAACAACUCAACUUUACCAAGACCUAACGGAGUUCAAAAGUUCACGUCUAGAAUUCCAAAUUUAGAUAAAUCCAUUUUGGCAAAAGUUAGUUAUUUUCGCACUGUAAUUUUUGAGCAAAAUUUAAUAUGUAGUAUUAACGCAGAGUAGAGCUUUCUAUUGAAAUUAGAAAGAAAAUUUCUGGAUAUCAGCUUUGAGUGGUUGAACCGUAGUGUUUGUAAAAAAUAUAAUUUUAUAUUAUUGUCUACUUGUGCAUUUUGGAAAUGCGACUCCUAACGAAAUUCCUAUUCCUUCGAAUUUAAGCAAAGAUAACUUGAGAGGGCCAAUUCUGGAUCAUCAUUCCACGUGUAACCUAACAAAGUGGACACGUGGAGUGCCAUCCAGCAAAUCCAUCCGUUUAAAUAGAAUAGACCUUUUUGUCAAAUAAUUCCUGUCUUCUUAUUCCAAACAUAUAUGGCCCACAUCUAACAUCCAUUUUCAUAUAUCUUCGGCCUUUGGCCCAGCAUCU